CCUACGGGCUGCAGCAGUGGGGAAUAUUGCACAAUGGGGGAAACCCUGAUGCAGCGACGCCGCGUGAGCGAUGAAGUAUUUCGGUAUGUAAAGCUCUAUCAGCAGGGAAGAAAAUUACGGUACCUGACUAAGAAGCCCCGGCUAACUACGUCCCAGCAGCCGCGGUAAUACGUAGGGGGCAAGCGCUAUCCGGAUUUACUGGGUGUAAAGGGAGCGUAGACGGCUGUGCAAGCCUGGUGUGAAAGUCCGGGGCUCAACCCCGGGACUGCAUUUGGAAUUGUGUGGCUGGAGUGUCGGAGAGGCAGGCGGAAUUCCUAGUGUAGCGGUGAAAUGCGUAGAGAUUAGGAGGAACACCAGUGGCGAAGGCGGCCUGCUGGACGAUGACUGACGUUGAGGCUCGAAGGCGUGGGGAGCAAACGGGAUUAGAUACCCUGGUAGUC
Molecule: ribosomal RNA, 440 nt
Filed under: uncultured bacterium
Lineage: Bacteria
Description: partial 16S ribosomal RNA
Rfam family: Bacterial small subunit ribosomal RNA
Source: RNAcentral